AGUUUGGCACCAGCGCCAUCGCAGGAGCUGCCAGAACGAGGUUGUGGACAACGACAAACUGCCUUGGGGGCCCCGACUCUGGAUUUUCUUGAGGUUUACUCCUGGAACCUUUUUCCAUGACUGGACACGGCCACAAGGCGGUGGAGGUUUUAAAUCAGAGUUUUCCCUCUCCUAGAUGGACUGCCUUCCCAGGCUGACGAGCCCCAUCUGCCCGGGAAAUAUCCGAAGCCUGAAAUAUAAAAUGUUCUUUUUUAUUAGCACCAAGGGAAUGUAUUUACUCUCUUGUUUGCACGGUUCCAUUUCAAAUGUAUUCUGAAUUCUCAAUUCUCUCAGAUUUUUACCCGAAUUGGCUUGUAGUGUUUUGAAUAAAUUGACAUGACAAGUAAUUUAAAUGGGAGCGAUGGAAAGGCAAGGUCAUAGAAUGUAAUAGAAUCAAAAAAUAAUAACUGACUGCACCAAUUUAGUAGAAAUGUGUCACACUAUUGAAUUAAAUGGAAUAUAUGGACUUUGUAUAUUACUGUAAUUAUUUGUCCCUAUGGGACUCUGUGUUGGCAGAUUGUCUCUUUUCAUACAUUACAAUGCUGACUUUGUUUUUAAAGAACAUAAUUGGCUGUAAAACACUCUUGGAUAUCCUGGGGUCGUAGAAAGUGCAUCAUAAAUUCCAGUUUUUUUUUUUUUUUUUUUAACGGAUAUAAUCAUGUUUUGAUUUAGUAAUUGAUGCAGCCAGAACCUAUUUCUCAGGAUGGUAAUAUUGAAUGCUAGAGGGAGUGGCUUGAAUGUGAGAGGGUCAAAGUUCAAAGGAGAUGUGAGGGGCAACUGUUUUACUCAAAGGUUGGUGAGUGCCUGGAAUGCAAAGUCAGUGUUAGUGGUGGAGGUAAAUACGAACGUGGCAUUUAAGAGACUUUUGGAUAGGUAUAUGGGAGGAAUGGGGAUAUGGAUUAUGUGUAGCCAGAUUAGGAUUGAUUUUAUGUUCAGUGAAGACAUUGUAGGCCAAAGGGCAUGUUCCUGUGUUGUAUAUUAUAUGGUCUAUGUAAUGCAAUGAAAGCAGUAUUAAACCAGAUGCAUAUAUAUAUAUAUUGAUAAUAUAUUCAGUUACUAUUUUUAUUUAACCUAUUUAAAUAUUGAGUUUAUAUGUGUAGUUUUAUUUAUAGUUUUGAAUGAAGGAAUGGGAGGUAAGGAUGGAAAAGAUAAAUUCGAAUAGUAAACGGCAUAUUGGUGUGUAUUCAGGAGUUCUUCAAAUCUACAAAGGAAUUGAAAAUGGAUUCCAGAUUUAGCUUAAGCCGAUUUCAACGUAUGCUUAGAAUUUACUCCAGCAUUUUGUAUCUAGCUACAGUUAAGGCAAAUAGCCAUCAACUUGUGCCCAUCGUUAAUGGGUAAUUAGAAGGAACUACAGACAUUGGUUUAGACCAAAGGUAGACACAAAAUGCUGGGGAAACUCAGCGGGACAGGAAGCAUCUCUGUCUGAAGAAUAGAUGUGUGAUGUUUCAGUUUGAGACUAGAAAUGUCACCCAUCCAUUUUCUCCAGAGAUGCUGCCUGACCCACCGAGUUACUCCAGCACUUAGUGUCUACCCAGCACUCAUAGUUGUUUACUUACCUCCCAUUGGGAAAGGAUUUGUUGGGAUAGCUUAAAACAAGAGGCUAAUUUAUGCUUUGGAGAUAUUGAGAUACAAGUAGGAGUGAGUAAGAACAUACUUCAUUGUGAAUGUUCUCUCAGCUGGCAGGACUGUAGAGUCGAGUGACAAACUUGCCAGCCCCACAUUUGUCCCAGCAUGUGGCGGUUAAAAGGAUCUACCAGCAGAAAAAAAACCCACUAACAAUAUUAUCGUUGAUAUUUUCUAAAGUUUCCAAAAAAAAUAGCCAGCCGAGCAUUAAAUAACAAUGUGUACAAUUUUCAUUUCUAUUUAGUGCAUUUAAUGUGCUUGACUUGGUUUCUGUUACUGUGAUGAGGCUAAAGAUGUUAUUUUACAGUCAACAUAAGCUUUAUGUUUGCAAAAAGCUCGUUGCUAUUGAGCACAGCAAUUAUGUAAGUGAAUAGAUUUUGGUUCUGCAGUAAGCAAGUAAUUUAUUCUUCCAAGGGUUACUAAAAUACAUUCAUUGCUAACUUGCGAAACAGUGGUGAUGGGGAAACUCGGUAUACUGUGUAAUGUUUCUCUAAGGCAUAAAGGUAUGGAGAUCCAGAUGUAUCAAAAGCUAAUGGAAAUAAGGCAUUCACUUUCGAAACAAUGUAUAAGGUAUUAAAAACCACACUGGAUGAAGAAAUUAUACACUUUCACGUAAAAUGAUUUUUAUUAUCUUCAUGAAAGUAUUUUUCUUUUGUUCAUUACUUAUAUUGUUUUAUGUAAUAAUAACACUUGGAAAAUCAAAGCCUUAGGUGUUGUGAAAGUAUAUCAGAAUGUGGAAAUACUUUGAGUUAUAUUCAUAGUAAAUUAUUUAUGUUUUGGAUUAACAGAAAAUAAAAUAUCUUUUGGAAAAUAAUCAAA
Long non-coding RNA from Leucoraja erinaceus (little skate), 2481 nucleotides. RefSeq lists it as uncharacterized. The transcript has 2 exons. Lineage: Eukaryota; Metazoa; Chordata; Chondrichthyes; Rajiformes; Rajidae. The record is from RefSeq and is a predicted model, not a curated record.